UACGAAGGGUGCAAGCGUUGUUCGGAAUUACUGGGCGUAAAGCGCGCGUAGGCGGGUCUGUGUGUCGAUUGUGAAAGCCCUGGGCUUAACCUGGGAAUGGCAGUCGAAACUGCAGAUCUUGAAUGUCUGAGAGGAUGGCGGAAUUCCCGGUGUAGUAGUGAAAUACGUAGAUAUCGGGAAGAACACCUGAGGCGAAGGCGGCUAUCUGGCGGCACAUUGACGCUGAUGCGCGAAAGCGUGGGGAGCAAACAGG
Molecule: ribosomal RNA, 253 nt
Filed under: uncultured bacterium
Lineage: Bacteria
Description: partial 16S ribosomal RNA
Rfam family: Bacterial small subunit ribosomal RNA
Source: RNAcentral